AUGGACGAUGGGGAGUUAGAUUUCUCAAACCAAGAUUUGUUAUCUAGUCCAAAUAUCGGUGAGAUUCCAAGCAGUUGUUCUUUUGAUUUCUUGGAUGAGCUACUGAAGGACACCCAUGCUUGUACCCAUACACACACAUGCAAUCCUCCUGGCCCUGACUAUUCUCACACACACACUUGCUAUCAUGUGCAUACAAAAAUUUUGCCCCCUGCCGAGGACAAGGUUGUAAGUGAUGAUACUGCGGAGUCCACGGAUAAAAAAUCAAAGAAACGAUCGUCAGGCAAUAGGGAGGCUGUCCGAAAGUAUAGGGAGAGGAAGAAGGCAAAGGCUGCAUCUUUGGAGGAUGAAGUUAAGCAUUUGCGAGCUUUGAACCAGCAGUUACUGAAGAGGCUGCAAGGACAGGCUGCAUUGGAGGCAGAGGUUGCAAGACUCAAGUGUUUACUUGUGGACAUUAGGGGGAGGAUUGAAGGGGAAAUUGGAUCAUUUCCAUAUCAGAAAUCAGCCAAUAAUGUGAAUUUGGCCAAUCCAAAUAUUCCUGGUUCUCUUGUGAUGAAUCCAUGCAACAUACAGUGUGAUGGCCAGAUUUAUUGUCAGCGUCCGGUGCUGGAUAGCAAAGGUGGAGAAGGUGCACCAUUGAAUGGGCAAGGGUUUAGCAGUUGUGAGAUUGAGAAUCUUCAGUGUAUGGAGUAUCAGAAUUCAGGAAUGAUAGGCUUAUCUGGGUGUAGCCUUGGGAAUGAAGCAACAAAUGGCAAUUCUUCCAGUACAAAUAAGAGAAAGAAGGGGAUCGUGGAGCAAGUUUAAGCUGAAAAAACUGCCAAACCAAGGUCAGCCUUUUCUGUGAGGAUGCAUGUGCUUCCCCAAAGUACUUAUGUUGAGAGGCAGCACCAGCUUCAUCAAGAUGCUUUGUUGGGUUUGUGAAACACAGAUCCCAUCUAUAAGAUGAUUCGAUCUAGGUGGACUCGUUGAACAUGAGAUCAAAAGCCCAAGUUGUCUAAUGGAAGGUACGUACAGAGGAGACAAAAGCGAGGCUUGCCAUUCACAGUGGAGGACUUAAUGAUCCUAUUUAUCCUUGUAUGAAGAAAUCAUGAUUUUUUUGUCAAAAGACACCUUUUGUUAUGUAUAAAUUCUCAAAAGAUUUUCUCAAAAUAGAAAUCUGUGAUCACAUGCAUGUUACCAGAACGUAGACCUAGCUUUGGCCAAGCAAAUAGAGUCUUUAAUUCCGCAAGGUACCUCGCUAACGAAUUCAGGUUAGCAGAGAAUCUUGCCUGCUCUUUUGUAAUAAUAUGGUACAUUGGGUUCAUGUUUU
RNA transcript from Populus trichocarpa (black cottonwood), 1306 nucleotides. It is a transcript of the gene named basic leucine zipper 19, with no coding region annotated. The record is from RefSeq and is a predicted model, not a curated record. Lineage: Eukaryota; Viridiplantae; Streptophyta; Magnoliopsida; Malpighiales; Salicaceae. The transcript is spliced from 3 exons.